GCCAGUACCAGAUAAGCACAUUAAACUAUAAUCCAUAAACGUAAGGUAACAACCGAGACCUAAUGGUGCUGUGACAGCAACGCUGUGAUUGAGUUUGAGUUUACAGUGAAAAUACAUAUGGUAUGUUGUAUCUGAACAGGUUAGCUUACGAGCUAAAGUUACUUAGCACAGAUGAAAGUUAAAACAAAGACGUUUAUCAAACUGUUAAAGCUCACAAACCAUCGUCAUAUGAGAAAUCCGACGCUAUGACUCUCCACAAGUCGUCCUUCAGGUCGUUAUCUUUGUAAUAUUUGUGUCUUUUAUCAAAAAUCACUCUGUUCUCCGCCACGUAAACAAUCAGCCGGUCGGCCAUGUUGGAUAUACCGGUGAAUCUGACGUCGCAACAACACGAAAUCUGAUUGGUCAGAAGUGGACACACAGUAUGCGAAACUUAAGAAAAUUCAACUGUAAUACAAAAAAAUAAAUGCCGCAAUAUCGCAGGACGGGAA
Molecule: non-coding RNA, 488 nt
Organism: Xyrichtys novacula (pearly razorfish)
Lineage: Eukaryota; Metazoa; Chordata; Actinopteri; Labriformes; Labridae
Source: the annotation of a GenBank genome assembly